CACCAACUUUCAUGAAAAUAAAAGAUGCAUAUACUAUUUUGGAGAGAAAAAUGUCAGAAAUCCAAAUCUGCCCUCAGAAUUUUCCAAUUCUCACUAUAUUGAAAGAUACAUGGAAUUGAAAAUUGAGGAGUAUGAACUGAGUUGCUUCGAUUUGACCUCAAAGCAACUCAAUCUUGUUGAGUAUAUUGGUAGGUCUUCAGACAACCAAA
Molecule: long non-coding RNA, 209 nt
Filed under: Lathyrus oleraceus (garden pea)
Lineage: Eukaryota; Viridiplantae; Streptophyta; Magnoliopsida; Fabales; Fabaceae
Description: Pisum sativum (pea) long non-coding RNA (PSAT_LNC007907)
Source: RNAcentral